CCAGACUCCUACGGGAGGCAGCAGUGAGGAAUAUUGGUCAAUGGCCGUAAGGCUGAACCAGCCAAGUAGCGUGAGGGAAGACUGCCCUAUGGGUUGUAAACCUCUUUUAUGCGGGGAUAAAGGUGUCCACGUGUGGAUGUUUGCAGGUACCGCAUGAAUAAGGACCGGCUAAUUCCGUGCCAGCAGCCGCGGUAAUACGGAAGGUCCGGGCGUUAUCCGGAUUUAUUGGGUUUAAAGGGUGCGUAGGCGGGCUUUUAAGUCAGCGGUAAAAAUUCGGGGCUCAACCCCGUCCGGCCGUUGAAACUGGGGGCCUUGAGUGGGCGAGAAGAAGGCGGAAUGCGUGGUGUAGCGGUGAAAUGCUUAGAUAUCACGAAGAACUCCGAUUGCGAAGGCAGCAUACGGCAGCGCUACUGACGCUGAAGCUCGAAGGCGCGGGUAUCGAACAGGAUUAGAUACCCCUGUAGAA
This 466-nucleotide ribosomal RNA is filed under the name uncultured bacterium. RNAcentral describes it as "bacterial SSU rRNA". It matches the Rfam family "Bacterial small subunit ribosomal RNA", at positions 331 to 795 of the family's 1533-position model. The record is from RNAcentral.